This 379-nucleotide unclassified non-coding RNA is filed under the name soil metagenome. RNAcentral describes it as "partial contains 5.8S ribosomal RNA, internal transcribed spacer 2, and large subunit ribosomal RNA". The stretch from base 1 to 120 matches the Rfam family "5.8S ribosomal RNA", at positions 35 to 154 of the family's 154-position model. The record is from RNAcentral.
GAUGAAGAACGUAGCGAAAUGCGAUAAGUAAUGUGAAUUGCAGAAUUCAGUGAAUCAUCGAAUCUUUGAACGCACAUUGCGCCCGCCAGUAUUCUGGCGGGCAUGCCUGUUCGAGCGUCAUUUCAACCCUCAAGCCCCAGCGGCCUGGUGUUGGGGACCUGCGACCUCGCCCGAGCCCGCCCUCCGGGGCGCGUGCCCGGUGCGUCCGCCGCCCCCGAAAUGAAUUGGCGGCCUCGUCGCGGCCUCCUCUGCGUAGUAGCACAACCUCGCAAGCGGGAGCGCGACGCGGCCACUGCCGUAAAACGCCCAACUUUUUUAGAGUUGACCUCGGAUCAGGUAGGAAUACCCGCUGAACUUAAGCAUAUCAAUAAGCGGAGGA